UACAGAAGGCCCGAGCGUUAAUCGGAAUCACUGGGCUUAAAGCGUACGCAGGCGGACUUGUAGGUAUCUUGUGAAAUCCCAUGGCUUAACCAUGGAACUGCAGGGUAAACCACAAGUCUUGAGACAUGUAGGGGUCAGUGGAACCAUGAGUGGAGCGGUGAAAUGCGUAGAUAUUCAUGGGAACGCCAAUGGCGAAGGCAGCUGACUGGGCAUGUUCUGACGCUCAGGUACGAAAGCGUGGGUAGCGAACGGG
This 253-nucleotide unclassified non-coding RNA is filed under the name uncultured Phycisphaeraceae bacterium. Its description in RNAcentral is "contains 16S-23S intergenic spacer region". It matches the Rfam family "Bacterial small subunit ribosomal RNA", at positions 524 to 776 of the family's 1533-position model. The record is from RNAcentral. Lineage: Bacteria; Pseudomonadati; Planctomycetota; Phycisphaerae; Phycisphaerales; Phycisphaeraceae.